CUUGCUCUUCUGUUUUCUCAGACCGGAAUCGACCAAUUCACUGCAGACCGGAUCCUUUGAAUCGCGCGCCACCGGUUAUCUGAGAACGAGUGUGCUGCCACAACUGGAAAGGCCACGGCAUAUCGUUCGGCGGGGGUGUGUCCCUACAUUCGGUGGCAGCGGCGGAACGCGCUGGACGCAACGCUCUUACCUUGCUCUUCUGUUUUCUCAGACCGGAAUCGACCAAUUCACUGCAGACCGGAUCCUUUGAAUCGCGCGCCACCGGUUAUCUGAGAACGAGUGUGCUGCCACAACUGGAAAGGCCACGGCAUAUCGUUCGGCGGGGGUGUGUCCCUACAUUCGGUGGCAGCGGCGGAACGCGCUGGACGCAACGCUCUUACCUUGCUCUUCUGUUUUCUCAGACCGGAAUCGACCAAUUCACUGCAGACCGGAUCCUUUGAAUCGCGCGCCACCGGUUAUCUGAGAACGAGUGUGCUGCCACAACUGGAAAGGCCACGGCAUAUCGUUCGGCGGGGGUGUGUCCCUACAUUCGGUGGCAGCGGCGGAACGCGCUGGACGCAACGCUCUUACCUUGCUCUUCUGUUUUCUCAGAUAAGGCGGACUCACUCUGGAAGCAGUUCUCGCGCGGGCUCUGUCCAUUGAGGACUGGCACAAGGAUCGCGCUGAUGUUGCCGAUGCUGCAGGGCGAGAAGCGGUCGUUGUUCGGCCUGUCCCCCUUGGUCGCCGACUCGUACAUCAGGAACUUGCCCGCGGCUCCCACGGGUUCGCAGAUACUCCCUUUGUCGUGCUGCGAAGGGAAAAGAGGUUGGCAACGGUGGCAGAGGCAACUUCGCCAUGCCCAACUUCCUCAAUGGCAACGCGUGAAGGAAACAAAAGUUUCACAACCACCUCCACCGGGAUGCCCAUGCCACUCAGCUGAGGCCAUCCGGUGGAGCUUCGUACUGGAACUGCUGCUACCUACCUGGCGCCACAACGUUGGAUGAACACACAAAAAGCCCGGAACGGUCACUUAUAUAAAUCGAAAUAAACAUUUCCUCAUUUACAA
Molecule: long non-coding RNA, 1045 nt
Organism: Dermacentor albipictus
Lineage: Eukaryota; Metazoa; Arthropoda; Arachnida; Ixodida; Ixodidae
Source: RefSeq, a predicted model, not a curated record